RNAcentral lists this long non-coding RNA (201 nucleotides) under Elaeis guineensis (African oil palm). RNAcentral describes it as "long non-coding RNA (EGUI_LNC045603)". The record is from RNAcentral. Lineage: Eukaryota; Viridiplantae; Streptophyta; Magnoliopsida; Arecales; Arecaceae.
ACUUGAGUUAUCAUUGGUCUAUAUACAUCUAUAUGUACUAGGGCUAACAACUCAUUCGCCCUCUCUCCAUGUUCAAAAAAUAGAGUUUUGGUCAUCUUACCCAUGAGACAAGAUUCACAAGUUCUCAAUGAUUCAUAAUCAUAUAGGUCAAAUUUUUUUUUGUAUAACUUGUUUAUCCUUGAUUCAUUAAUAUGACCAAGA